This 70-nucleotide transfer RNA is filed under the name Labidostomis urticarum. RNAcentral's name for it is "tRNA-Met". Lineage: Eukaryota; Metazoa; Arthropoda; Insecta; Coleoptera; Chrysomelidae. The record is from RNAcentral.
AAAAAGGUAAGCUAAAACAAGCUAUCGGGUUCAUACCUCGUCCAUGGGGGUUGUAAUCCCCCCCUUUUUA